Molecule: ribosomal RNA, 238 nt
Filed under: uncultured bacterium
Lineage: Bacteria
Description: partial 16S ribosomal RNA
Rfam family: Bacterial small subunit ribosomal RNA
Source: RNAcentral
GAUCAUGGCUCAGGACGAACGCUGGCGGCGUGCCUAACACAUGCAAGUCGAACGAGAAUUUUUAUUUCGGUAGAAUUCUUAGUGGCGAACGGGUGAGUAACGCGUAGGCAACCUGCCCUUUAGACGGGGACAACAUUCCGAAAGGAGUNCUAAUACCGGAUGUGAUCAUCGUGCCGCAUGGCAGGAUGAAGAAAGAUGGCCUCUACAAGUAAGCUAUCGCUAAAGGAUGGGCCUGCGU